This is a long non-coding RNA of Macaca mulatta (Rhesus monkey), 7405 nucleotides long. RefSeq lists it as uncharacterized. Lineage: Eukaryota; Metazoa; Chordata; Mammalia; Primates; Cercopithecidae. The record is from RefSeq and is a predicted model, not a curated record.
UGCCCAGCCUUUUUUUUUUUUUUUUUUUUUUAAUGAGAAGAUGAAGGCUCAGAGAUUGUUAUGGGCUGAACUGGGUACCCCCUUACCAAAUCCACAUGCUGAAAUCCUUACCCCCAGAACCUGUGAGUGCGACCUUAUUGGGGGACAGGGUCUUGACAAAAUUAAGUUAAAAUGAAGUCAUUCAGGUGGCCCCUAAUCCCGUAGGACUGGUAUCCUUCUAAGAAGGGGAGGUUUGGACCCAGACACACACAGGCACACACAGAGGCCAUGUGACAGUGAAUAAGGCCUUCUGGGAGUCAAGGAGAGAGGCCUCAGAAAGAACUAGCCCAGUCCACACCUUGAUCGUGGAGUACUGGGCUCCAGGACGGGGGGAGAAUAAGUUUCUGUUGUUGAAGCUGCCCAGUUUGUGGCUUCAGGAAACCAACAGAGACGAAGGGACUUUUCAAGAUUCGCCAGAGUGGAGCGGGACUCACCGUCUUGGCCGCGGGAUCCUGCCUGCUGGUGUUUUUUGGUUGGAGGAAGUGGGAGCUCGCUUUGCCAAGUCACCCUUAGGCCCCACGUGAUGCCAGGAUGCAAUAAGAGAGAAGCUUAAACAGGAACUCUGCUAACGUCUUUAUUUCUUCCCUUUGAAGAACCCUGGAAAGCUCUCUGUAAAUAUUUGUGAAGUUAAUUUCACAACCCACAAGUGAAUACAUGAAUAAAUUAGUGAGUGAGUGUCAAACACAGCACUGUCCCGACGCCUGUCCUGUCUGUUCAGUGACCAGAUGUGACUUCCUCUAGGGCCCUGAGGCAGCCAUGGCCUCAAAUCACUGCUGUGCCCUGAGGGCAGGGGUGCCAAGGGGUGAGGUCCAGUGGGCUGCUCUGCCCUCAGCACUGGGGUCUCUCGGGCUCAGCCUCUGGGAAGCGUUGAGGUCUUCCCUCCGAGGCAGUCAGUGGUGGGAGAGGAGGGUGAGGGACACGCUGCCCAGAGCUGUAGCCACCGGGCAGCCUGGGCUUUGCUUUUCCUUUCCAAGGCCUUCCCUGCAUGGCGAAGUGGCUGGCUCUGUUCACAUUCAAGCUGGCCCAGAACAGCUUCACGUGCACCUCAGAUCAUCUUUUAGGGGUUUUUAAAUUUUCAUUUUUUAGCAGUAGUUAUCAUUUUGUUUUUCCAUAGGGAGAAACAGGUGGUGCCUUAAAACAAACAAACAAAACUCUGACGUUUAUUGGAUUUAUGCUGAAAAUAUUGAACCGUUCACAAAGGGGCCUUUGAUCCUGAGAACCUUUCAGGUCUUCGGUGCUUUUGUGCUCACCGAUUCCAGGCCAGGACACCAAUGCUCCCACAGCCUUGAAGCCCAGUGGGAACGGGCCGGCCCGGGCUCAGGAGCCCCGUGCCCCUCCCUCUCCUUUCUUCAUUUGCCACCAGCUCAACAUCCCUUGCCCUGCCCCGUUGCAUCUACACACGUGUGUUUUGGUUUUGAUUGAUUUGUUUGCCGACACUUUUUGUUAGCAGCUCAUUGAAGAUUUCCAGUCUGCAGUAAGGAUUGAGCCAUGGAAUCUUCUGGAAUCCCUGCAGCCUGGCUGAGCCAUGAGCUGUCCCAUGGCUGCAGCCAGUGCUGCCAAUCCUAUGUUCCGUUUGCAGGGAACAUUCUUUCCCUCCACACCCGCACUUCCCCGAGACCAGCCCGGUCCAGGCUUUGGGGUCUGCCUGGCUGUCUCCUUGUCCUCCGCUGCCCCGCCACCCCUGUCCCCAGCCUAGACCCAGAGCACUGUGUCCUGGCCUUUGUCAGACCCCGUCUAUCCGCGCACCUCCGGGCCUGGUCCCUGAACCGCUGCCUGCCUCCCAGGGUCCACUCUGGCCUCAGUGAGUGACAGGCUCUCAGAUCACCACAUAAAUGAAUGAACUUCCGGAAGAAGGAAUGACAACAUGGGCGUUUAAAAAUAUUCCUUCAUUCAGCGUCUACCCUAUCUUUGGAAUGAUGCCUGAUGUUCUCCCUUGAAAAGAGCAGCAUUUGGGGAGAGGGAGGCCUCGCCAGCGGCACCGGUGGAACCUAGGAUGGGAGCCUGCCACGCCAGAUGCCAGACACGCCAGGGUUCCCGCACACCUGAUCCCGAUUGCAUGAAGUGGAGGGACCUCCUCCUCCCUCUUUGUUUGUGUUUUCCCUCUCCCUCUGUCCCUUCCACAUGUCCCCACCCUGAGUCGGGAUCUGUGCCACGGUAUAGACUGCAGAGUUUUGACCUCCUCCUCGCAGUCCUCCUUGUCUUUUAUUUAAAAGGCAGCAGAGAGGGGGACUCUAGUCUCUCCCCCUGCCCUGCCUGCCAACAGCUACACGGCAUAGAGUUCACUGUUCUGUGGCUUUAGGUCUUCGUGUCCGGGCGCCCGCACAGUGGAAACAGGUGGGGGCAGAGACAAGAGCGAGGUGACGGGACAGCCACCUUGUCCUCAGCGUCCCUCCAGGAGCCCCUCGAGGUUGGAAUGGCAGGCACCGGGUCCUUCCUGGAGCCUCUCGUCUCUGCUAGGCAGCGAUGUGUUGUAACAGGUUCCUGGAGCACUUCCUCGCCAUCUGUCUCCAGAGCUGGAUUAUCGCUCCGCUCCGAGAGGGGUUCCAAUUUGCAAUUGUAAAUUGUGUUCUUUCCCCCUUUUCACUCCACAUGUAGGGACUCUGACAGCUUGAAGGGGCUGUCGUGGUUUGCAGAGAGCAUGGCUUGUUUUCCACACGGCACAAAACACCCUCCCUCUGGAGUCCCUCGGGGGACAGGGACGGUCCCCAGGGGUGCUGGGUGGGCGCUGGAGGCCAGGUGAGUAGGAGACUGGGAGGGAGGGAGGCAGGCGCUAGACACAUGGUCUUUCUCCAAGUUGACCUUGGGCUGACUCCGGGACUCGACCCUGGACUCCUCCGGGGGACCUAGAGCCCACCCUGACGAGCUCAUGUGUGCAAUGAGGUAAGAGUGGAUGGUACUGGGGGCACCUGACCUCUCGCUUCUGUUCCUCUCCCGCGAGUGCCUUUACACCACGGGGCAGGGGCCAGAGGGCUUCCUUGCUACACAGCCGGGCCCUGCCACUUCCCCCGCGUGGCACUCUUCACACUCCUCACUCUGCCGGGCCCUGCAUAAGGCCUGCUGCCCGCCGCCCGCUUCCCUCCUCUGUCCCGGGGGACACCGACCUCAUCACUGUGCCUUGAACACACCAGGGCGCCUUUCACAGGCAUCUGCCCCGCAGACAGCGUCACCGCCAAAUUCUACCAAACAUCUGAAGAGGAGUUAAUAUCAGACCUUCACAAACACCUCCAAAAGAUGGGAGGAGAAAAUGCUUCUCAGCGCCUUUUGAGUCCAGUGGUCCUUAGGUGCCAAAGCCGGACAAAGGUACCACAGGACAAGGAGCUGGCAGGCACAGCCCCUCCCAGGUCUCAUUCUUCCCGCAGGCUCCCUCUCGCCGCUGGCCAGGGCCUGCGCUUGAAAUGCCCGCCUGGGAGGUUUCCUGAUUGUUCUGACGCCGGCUGCUCAGUGCCCCAUCCCUCCCCCAGCCUUGCUCCCCCCUGCAGGGUCCUGCUGGGGACAUGUGCCUGGCCCACCUGUCUGACACUGCCCCCCAUCUCUGUCCCUGGACCGAUGCUCCUGUCUGGCUGACUCUUUGUCUCGUGUUUACAUCGGCUGUACCCAGAGCGGCACCUGGUUGCCAGAGGGCACCUCUGCUUGCAUGGCGUGUAGCAGAGAGAAUGGCUCCCAAGAUCCUUAGCCAUGGACUUGUCCCCUCAUAGUCAGGGUGGGGUGGGUCUUGCCUCUGUCCGUGGAGCUGUCCCUCCCAUGGCCUUCGAUGGCACCCUUGUGUGGGUCUUCACCUCCUGCACCCCUGCGUGGGUCCUCAGCUCCUGCACCUCUGCGGAGUCGGCUGCAUCAGCAAGCUGCAUCGGCCUGGCAACGCUGGCUACAAGGCUCCUUUGGUGCCUCUUCCGCAUCUUGUUGCAGGGUCGAUCUGCUUCAAGGUCAGCAAAAUGCUUUUGGCUCCUACUGUACAGAGAAGGAAACCGAGGCUGGCACAUCCCCAGGUGGAGACAGCGUUCACGACAGCCAGGGGCCAGGGGAUGAUGAGCUGGUUUGUUCCAAGAGAGGGUGAAGCUUGUGACAUGUAUGAAGCAUGGGUGGGCAAGGUGGCACGCGGGCACCCAAGGCCAGUCCAGUUAAUCCUCAGGGUUGAGCCCAGGACCAGCAGAGCCAGGGCCAGGCCUGAUGCAUGGACCUGCAGGCCUAUAGGGCAUCCAGUGAGGGGGUCCCUUUCAGGCAAUACAGGGACCGCUCUCCGGGGGCCACUAGGAAACCUCAAACCCACAGCUGGGCCCAGGGCAGCAGCAGGGUCGAGAUCAAGAAUAAUGUCCAGUGGGAGGCUGAGCUUUGUCCGAGGCCUGCAGAGGAUCCCUGGGGAUGCUGUGGGGUUUUCAUAGGCUGUGGAAGGAGUGUGGGAUCUGGGAACCUGAAGCCCAAGGUACAGCCAUUCAGCACCACAGGUGUGGCCCAAUUUCUAGGUAAAGACGACAGUUUGGCCUGGGAAACACACCCCCGUUUGCCCAAUUUUGAGGUCCGGGGUGUUUUUUCACUGGCUCAGCUUCCCACAGAAGGUCCCUGUUCCUUUUGGGGUUUCCUAAAGGCAUCAGGGCCUGUUUUUCAGACUUGAGAUCCAAGGCAAAGGGGCCUUUGCUCACUUUAAAAAAAAAUUCAUUUUUAUUGGCGCAUAAUAGAUGUACAUAGUUUCUGGGUACACGUCAGAAUUUAAUACAUUCAUAUAAUUUGUAAAGAUCCAAUCAGCAUAAUUAAGGCAUCCAUCACCUUCAAUACUGGUCUUUUCUUGAUGCUGAAGACAUUGGGGUUAUUCUCUUCUGGCUGUUUGGAAAUGUACAGUAGAUUACUGUGAGCUACAGUCACCUGCUGCUCUAACACUGGGGCUUAUUUCUCCCAUUAAACCAUAUAUUUGUACACAUCAGUCACCCUCUUUUCAUCCCCCGACUCCCUUCCCCUUCCCAGUCUCUGGUACCCACAAUCUACUCUCCCCCUCCAUGAGAUCCACCUUUUAGCUCCCCUGUGUGAGUGAGAACAUGCCGUAUUCGCUUUCCUCGGCUUAGCUUACUUCACUUAACAUGGUGGCCUGCAGUUCCUCCGUGCUGCUGACUUUCAAUACCUCGUUCUAUGGUAGCUCCACCCACUCCCAGUAAACCCUCCGCGUCCUGAUGCGCCAUGAGACGGCUGCUGUUUCCCAAAUAGUGCUACGGCCCCGCUUCUCCCCUCCUUCUCUGCCCCAGGGCCUGGGUCCACUCCCGCACACCAGCUCCCACCUGCUCCCAGCCUCCCCCUCCCAUCUGCACCGGCUGGGUUUUGGCUUUAAUUUCAGCAAACACAGGCAAUUCCUCUUCCCACUGGGGAUGAGAACUGGCAGAAAUAUCACAGCGAAGGCAGCCUCCCCAGCUCCUACCAGCCAAGGAAAAGCAAAAAUCCAUAGGCGUUGCUCAGGGUGUGAUUAACCUCCUGAAAAGCACACAUUCCCUCCAUCAUCAUCAUCAUCAUCAUCAUCAUCAUCAUCAUCAUCAUCAUCGUGUUGAUCUCGGCCAUCAUCAUCAUCGUGUUGAUCUCCGCCCGGAGCAUCCACAGCGCUCCUGACAAUGCGAGUCUUCCCCAAAGGGCAUCUCUUUUGUAAAGUGAGACACAGCUCCUGCAAUCCAGGGAGGAGGCAGGGGGGAGUGCUCGGCCCCACACCUGGGUAAAGUCACACGGAUGGAGAAACCACUUCAUACACUCAGUGAAAGCAAUGUUCCUGAUGAGUUUGAGUCAGCACCGGGAAAUUAGAGCCAGAAUCAACCGCAGGAAAUCAGCAUCCUCUCGGCCCCUGUCUUCUCCUCGGCAGAGUGGGCUAGAAGAAGGAUGCCAGAGAUCUCGAGCUUUGGCCGUGGAUGGACCUGGGUGUGAGUCAUGGCUCAGCCAUUUGCCAGCUGUGCAAACUCAGACAAGCUGCUUAAGCCGCUUCACACUUUUGGUAAAGGAAAGGUAGAUGGGGGAUGAGGUAUCGUACGGGGUGCAUGGCCCUUAGGAGUGUCUGGUCCAUAGUGAGGGCCCCGUGCAUGGAAGCCAUAGCAACCAGGAUGUGUGCUUUCUCUGAGCAGCGCUUUGCUCCGUGGUGUCCACCGCAUGUACACUAAUUUCCAGGACCAGGAGCUGCUUUCGAGGACCCUCCCUAGCAAGUACUUAGGAGUCCGCCACACACAGAUUGAGCACAGAUCCAUCUCUGGCUCUAUCUCACAGCUUUCCCGCUGCUUUCCUUAGGCCGGUGGUUGACGUGGUCUCCAUGAGCUGUGUGCAUCCUCUGGUGACAGGAAAAGAUUUGUACCCCCAGGAAGGUCCCCAGCCUUCCCCCACCUGCUUUCUGGGGGGGAUUCUGCCUUGGUCUUCUCUCAUCCAUCCCUCAGGGGUCCCGUCUUUGUGAUGUCAGCGUGAAGUGGAAUCUGCAGAAUGGCUGAAGUGGAGAAGACUGCAAAUGCAUUGGAUGAUGAUAGCAGCAUCAUUUACAAUCACCACGACUUGGAAGCAGCCGAGAUGUCCUCUGGCAGGUGAUUGGAGAAAUGAACUGUGGCAUGUCGACACAGACCACGGAAUACUAUUCAGUGCUAAAAAUGAGUGAGCUUCCCAUCCAUGAAAAGACAUAAAGGAACCAGAAAUGCAGAUCACAAAGUGAAAGCGGUCAGUCUGGGGAGGCUACACACCCUCUGACUCCAACUCUGUGACAUUCCCAAAGAGGAAACAUUAUGGGGACAGGAAAAAGAGGAGGUGCCAUCAUUAGGGAAGCAGGAGCUGAAGAGAGUCAGAGUGACACCACUGAAAAAUCUUCUCUGUCUUGAGACUAACAAGGCACCUUCCUUACCAGUCACAACCCAUGGUCCUAAGAUGGUCACAGCUAAGGAGGCAGCUUGGUACUGCCUGCAAGGACAAACUCCUAAAACAACAGAAAGCCCAGAUGUCCCAAUACCCAUAACAAUAUGUGCUUUCAAGAUAAUUAUAGAUACGCUUUGAUGUACUCAUGUACUAGACUGUUAAGGAUAGUUUUCUAUAAAUCAAUAGUGUAAUCAAUUUUGUCAUGCCAUCUGCUCCUCCUCACAGAGUCACGGCUUGGUUUAGUCAUUACAUAGACAAGACCCCUAUAUAAGAAAAACUUAAAGACGGUGCAUUCUCUCAGAAGGUCCCCUGCUCUGUAAGAGUAGCUUUUAAUAAACGUGCUUCCUUCGCUGCACCUUGUGAUUCACCUUGAAUUGCUUCCUGUGUGAGAUCAGAAACCCUCUCUUGGGGUCUGGAUCAAGACCCCUUUUCCGGUAACACCAUGGGUUGGGGAGAGGGAGCGAUGAAUAGGUGGAGCACAGGACUUUUUGGGGCAGUGAAAUUCCUCCGUAUCAUU